This 253-nucleotide ribosomal RNA is filed under the name uncultured bacterium. RNAcentral describes it as "partial 16S ribosomal RNA". It matches the Rfam family "Bacterial small subunit ribosomal RNA", at positions 524 to 776 of the family's 1533-position model. The record is from RNAcentral.
GACGAACUGUCCUACCGUUGUUCGGAAUCACUGGGCUUAAAGGGCGCGUAGGCGGUCCGACAAGUCAGGGGUGAAAUCCUGCAGCUUAACUGCAGAAGUGCCUUUGAUACUGUCGGUCUUGAGGGAGAUAGGGGUGUGCGGAACUCACAGUGGAGCGGUGAAAUGCGUUGAUAUUGUGAGGAACGCCGGAGGCGAAAGCGGCGCACUGGAUCUCUUCUGACGCUGAGGCGCGAAAGCUAGGGGAGCAAACGGG